UAUUUUAGUACGAAAGGACCAAAUAUUUAAAAUAAUUUUUUUUAGGGAAUAAUAUUAAUGUUACUUUGGCAGAAUAGUGUAAUGAAUUUAGAAUUCAUAAAUGUAAUUUAUAUUACAGGUAAUACUUGUUAAGUGAUUUUUUAGUUUCUUUAAUUAAUAGAUUGAUUUUA
Molecule: unclassified non-coding RNA, 170 nt
Filed under: Nigronia serricornis
Lineage: Eukaryota; Metazoa; Arthropoda; Insecta; Megaloptera; Corydalidae
Description: partial contains 16S ribosomal RNA and tRNA-Leu
Source: RNAcentral